UAUUGAGUGAGCUAAAUUACCAAAAAAAGAAAAAUUUAUUACCUAUGAUAAUUUUAAUAAUGAUUCUAAUUCUAAGAUUUUUUUUACGAUAUAUAUAUGUACAACAAAUUGAAACAAAUAAAUAAAACACAAUACUCUUACUACAUAAAGUGGUCAAUACAUUUCUAUAUGUUGUAAGGUUAAUUAGGAGAAAAAAUAAUGGUUGAAAUCGUUAAGUUUAUUCAUUUAAUGAUCUUCUUUAUUUCCUUAUUUCAUGUUGUAGUUGAAGAUGCCAAAGGUUGGCCUGCAGAUAAAAGAUUAAACUGCAAAGUUGAUUCUGAUUGUUUCAAAUUUACGUGCCCAGCUCCUUUGAUUCCAGACUGCCGUGCUUAUUAUUGUGUGUGUGAAUUUCUAAUGAAGCCCAUAGGAUAUGCAUGAAAUCAAACAUUCUUGAAGGACUUUAUAUGUAACGAUUUAGUUAUAAAUAAUUGUAUGAUAAAAUAUGUUUUCAGUCCCUACUUUUAUAACGAGAUUUGGUUUCUGUUCCUGUAAAAUAAAAUCACUUUGUUUUUAAGUGAAUUUUUCGGUACACGUAUUAUGUGGAGGUGUACCGGUACAUCGCUGAGGUGGUUAAUAGGUAACAAUCAUUUAUUGCGGA
This is a long non-coding RNA of Trifolium pratense (red clover), 637 nucleotides long. RefSeq lists it as uncharacterized. Lineage: Eukaryota; Viridiplantae; Streptophyta; Magnoliopsida; Fabales; Fabaceae. The transcript is spliced from 2 exons. The record is from RefSeq and is a predicted model, not a curated record.